This 435-nucleotide ribosomal RNA is filed under the name Anaplasma marginale. Its description in RNAcentral is "bacterial SSU rRNA". It matches the Rfam family "Bacterial small subunit ribosomal RNA", at positions 29 to 492 of the family's 1533-position model. Lineage: Bacteria; Pseudomonadati; Pseudomonadota; Alphaproteobacteria; Rickettsiales; Anaplasmataceae. The record is from RNAcentral.
ACGAACGCUGGCGGCAAGCUUAACACAUGCAAGUCGAACGGACCGUAUACGCAGCUUGCUGCGUGUAUGGUUAGUGGCAGACGGGUGAGUAAUGCAUAGGAAUCUACCUAGUAGUAUGGGAUAGCCACUAGAAAUGGUGGGUAAUACUGUAUAAUCCCUGCGGGGGAAAGAUUUAUCGCUAUUAGAUGAGCCUAUGUCAGAUUAGCUAGUUGGUGGGGUAAUGGCCUACCAAGGCGGUGAUCUGUAGCUGGUCUGAGAGGAUGAUCAGCCACACUGGAACUGAGACACGGUCCAGACUCCUACGGGAGGCAGCAGUGGGGAAUAUUGGACAAUGGGCGCAAGCCUGAUCCAGCUAUGCCGCGUGAGUGAGGAAGGCCUUAGGGUUGUAAAACUCUUUCAGUAGGGAAGAUAAUGACGGUACCUACAGAAGAAGUC